GACGAACGCUGGCGGCGUGCUUAACACAUGCAAGUCGAACGGAAAGGCCCUGCUUUUGUGGGGUGCUCGAGUGGCGAACGGGUGAGUAACACGUGAGUAACCUGCCCUUGACUUUGGGAUAACUUCAGGAAACUGGGGCUAAUACCGGAUAGGAUCUCCUGCUGCAUGGUGGGGGUUGGAAAGUUUCGGCGGUUGGGGAUGGACUCGCGGCUUAUCAGCUUGUUGGUGGGGUAGUGGCUUACCAAGGCUUUGACGGGUAGCCGGCCUGAGAGGGUGACCGGCGACAUUGGGACUGAGAUACGGCCCAGACUCCAACGGGAGGCAACGGGGGGGAAUAUUGCACAAUGGGCGGAAGCCUGAUGCAGCAGCGCCGCGUGCGGGAUGACGGCCUUCGGGUUGUAAACCGCUUUCGCCUGUGACGAGGCGUGAGUGACGGUAAUGGGUAAAGAAGCACCGGCUAACUACGUG
Molecule: ribosomal RNA, 468 nt
Filed under: uncultured bacterium
Lineage: Bacteria
Description: partial 16S ribosomal RNA
Rfam family: Bacterial small subunit ribosomal RNA
Source: RNAcentral